AAAAACCCAGGUGGUGUGAGAUGGAUCCGCGUCUGAUUAGCCAGUUGGCGGGGUAACGGCCCACCAAAGCGACGAUCAGUAGCCGACCUGAGAGGGUGACCGGCCACAUUGGGACUGAGACACGGCCCAAACUCCUACGGGAGGCAGCAGUGGGGAAUAUUGCACAAUGGGCGGAAGCCUGAUGCAGCGACGCCGCGUGAGUGAAGAAGUAUCUCGGUAUGUAAAGCUCUAUCAGCAGGGAAGAAAAUGACGGUACCUGACUAAGAAGCCCCGGCUAACUACGUGCCAGCAGCCGCGGUAAUACGUAGGGGGCAAGCGUUAUCCGGAUUUACUGGGUGUAAAGGGAGCGUAGACGGCGACGCAAGUCUGGAGUGAAAGCCCGGGGCCCAACCCCGGGACUGCUUUGGAAACUGUGCUGCUGGAGUGCAGGAGAGGUAAGUGGAAUUCCUAGUGUAGCGGUGAAAUGCGUAGAUAUUAGGAGGAACACCAGUGGCGAAGGCGGCUUACUGGACUGUAACUGACGUUGAGGCUCGAAAGCGUGGGGAGCAAACAGGAUUAGAUACCCUGGUAGUCCACGCCGUAAACGAAGAAUGCUAGGUGUCGGGGGGCAAAGCCCUUCG
This 620-nucleotide ribosomal RNA is filed under the name uncultured bacterium. RNAcentral describes it as "bacterial SSU rRNA". It matches the Rfam family "Bacterial small subunit ribosomal RNA", at positions 202 to 842 of the family's 1533-position model. The record is from RNAcentral.